UCGGGACAAACCCGGGUACAUCAACAGCCUUUUCAAUGAGACUGACAAAAAUAAAGACAAGAAACUGAGCUUUGAAGAGUUCACUAAGAUCCUGGCUAAACUGGCCUAUGACACCCACUGCAUCCACCACAAUUUAAACCGGUGUCGCCCAGACCAAGACUAAAGCCCUGAGUGCAGUCCCAGGCUGGAGGAAACCCUGGACCAGAUGACUCUGCCCCCGCUGCAGAAAUCUCCCAUGCCCAGAAUUGCCUGUCUCACAUCAGGCCUCU
This is a long non-coding RNA of Gavialis gangeticus (Gharial), 269 nucleotides long. RefSeq lists it as uncharacterized. The transcript has 3 exons. Lineage: Eukaryota; Metazoa; Chordata; Crocodylia; Gavialidae. The record is from RefSeq and is a predicted model, not a curated record.